Long non-coding RNA from Capsicum annuum, 201 nucleotides. RefSeq lists it as uncharacterized. The transcript is spliced from 3 exons. The record is from RefSeq and is a predicted model, not a curated record. Lineage: Eukaryota; Viridiplantae; Streptophyta; Magnoliopsida; Solanales; Solanaceae.
UUCAGCUUCUAGGUUUUUCUCUCUUGUUCUCUCUUGUCUAUGAAGUAACCCUGUAUUCCCACAAGGGUUCUUGGAAUUGACCUUCCUCCCAAGAUAAAGGGAUUAAGCUACUGAAGAGAUACAAAUUAAGAGGCUAAACUAACAAGGAAAUCAAGAUAAGUAAUCUAAAAGGCGGGAAGUCAAAUCGGGAUAGUUUCAGAG